CUACGGGAGGCAGCAGUAAGGAAUCUUGCACAAUGGGGGAAACCCUGAUGCAGCGACGCCGCGUGAGCGAUGAAGCCCUUCGGGGUGUAAAGCUCUUUCGGCAGGGAAGAAAAAUGACGGUACCUGCAGAAGCAGCUGCGGCUAACUACGUGCCAGCAGCCGCGGUAGUACGUAGGCAGCGAGCGUUGUUCGGAGUUACUGGGCGUAAAGGGUGCGUAGGCGGUCUCUUAAGUUUGGUGUGAAAUCUCCCGGCUCAACUGGGAGGGUGCGCCGGAUACUGAGGGACUAGAGUGCGGGAGAGGAAAGUGGAAUUCCUGGUGUAGCGGUGAAAUGCGUAGAUAUCAGGAGGAACACCGGUGGUGUAAACGGCUUUCUGGACCGUAACUGGCGCUGAGGCACGAAAGCGUGGGGAGCAAACAGGAUUAGAUACCCCUGUAGUCCC
Molecule: ribosomal RNA, 442 nt
Filed under: uncultured bacterium
Lineage: Bacteria
Description: bacterial SSU rRNA
Rfam family: Bacterial small subunit ribosomal RNA
Source: RNAcentral